CCCACUCUAUACUCUAUACUCUAUACUCUCACUUGUGAGAGCGGAUGCAUUUGCACCGGAAGCUAUCUGUCUGCCUGAGAGACCGCGACUAAUACGAUAGACCUCGAAUCUUGCCUCGCACUUUCGAUUUUGUACCAUGCAAUGUAAAUACCGAUAAUAUAGUAAUUUUUGUAUGUUCGUAAAUGAUUCUGUGUUAUAACUUUUACGUUUUUUUAUACAGAAACGUAAAAGGGGCGGAAGUUACACCGUUAAAGUUUCAGAUGAGAUAUGCAGCAAGGCAUCGGCGUCAUGCUACAAAGAAGCUUAAAACCGUACCUCAAGUAAAUGAGGUAAAAACCAUAAAAAAUGUAGGAGAUACUUUAACUAGCAACGAAUCCCCACUAGCUGAUAUAUAUGGCGAAGAGAUAUAUCGCCUUGAAACGAAAAUAUUUCAUGCUGAUGAAAAAUGGCAUAUCUUGUAGUAGGACCGAGAAUAAAAAAAUUUUUAUUUACAAAUUUGUAGGUUGAUGGAACUUUCGAUAUUUGGCCACAAGAUAAGCAGAACAAAAUCACAGUUUGUGACUAGCGUGGCAGAAACUGUAACAAGAAAAGUAUGCUUUGUUUCUUUAUAUUAGCAUUUUUAAACAAAAAUCAUUUUUUAUACGUAGGUUAUUCCAAUAGCAUUCGCUUUAAUCAGCAACAGAACAGCGGAUACGUACAGAGCACUGUUCCAAACAUUGAAAAAUGCAUUUCCAUUGUUGGCACCAAAUAAAAUCAUGUCUGAUUAUGAGGAUGCUAUGAGGAUUGGUUUUAAGUGCGAGUUCCAGAAGCACAAAUCCUUGGCUGCCGGUUCCACUUUUCACAGGCUACAUACAAUAAUGCACUAAAACAUAAAGUAGCUUUAUCAAAAAAGCAAAAACAGAAUAACCCUGCGAAGCAUAAGAUUAUCAAAAAAUCGAUUGCUUUAGCUUUACUGCCUAGUAAGUGCAUAUUUGAAGGGUACAAAAAUGUAGAAACAGAAUGCCAAGAAAAAUAUGCAACCGAUCCUAGCCUGCUGACUUUUUUGAAAUACUUUGAAAAGCAAUGGUUACCUGCUACUAAAGAAAUUUCAAUUUAUAGUCAAGCAUACAGAACAAAUAAUGUAAUUGAAGCAUACCAUCGAAACAUACAAAGGUCCAUUAAUAAAAAGCCGAACCUCUUGAACUUUUCAAACGGAUUAUUAGAUAUUCAAAGAAUGGCAAGACUCCACUUUGAGCAAGCUUACAAUUUUGAUCUGGAAGACCUGAAAACAACACGGAAGAAAUAGGGCUUAAAAAACGAAAAUAUAAAAGAAGGAUGGGACCACUUAGAUGGUAUUAAAGAGUUCUGGACAAUCAGUCUUUUUUUAGACCAGCUUUCUUAUUUCGAUGAGCAAUCAUGCGAUAGCAGCAGUGGUACUGGCGUUGACGCAAGGGUCGAAGAAAUGGAGAACGCUCAAUUUCAAGACGUUGAUGAGAAAAUGACAGAAGAUAUAAAUAAUUAUGAGGUACCACUUGCAGAAAACGAUAUUGUGCCUGCAGAGACGGAUAUUAAUAACGAUCAGCAAAAAGAUGACGAUGCAAAUAUCAAGAAACGGUAUAGCCACGAAGGUCAACAGCUUACAUAUGCUGAAAGCAAUAUUUUGUUCCAUGUUGUUGACCAAGAAACCGGAUCCAUCAAACAGUUAGAUAUGCAAUAAUGCUAUAUUUCUAACAAAAAACGCUGUGUCUACUCCUAAUGUUUAGAACAAAAUGUGAAUAUCCGCUUUUCGAUUUAUUGUAAACAAUUAACCCUUUCAUAAAAGGUUAACGAGGCGUUUUAAAAACUGUUGUUAAAACUGGUGUUAAAACCUUUGAAAAAACGUUGGUAUGACAUUUAUAUGACAUUUUAUAAUCAUUUUAA
Nasonia vitripennis (jewel wasp) is the source of this 1899-nucleotide long non-coding RNA. RefSeq lists it as uncharacterized. The record is from RefSeq and is a predicted model, not a curated record. NCBI's taxonomy places the organism in Eukaryota, Metazoa, Arthropoda, Insecta, Hymenoptera, Pteromalidae. The transcript is spliced from 4 exons.